GACGAACGCUGGCGGCGUGCUUAACACAUGCAAGUCGAACGGAAAGGCCCUGCUUUUGUGGGGCGCUCGAGUGGCGAACGGGUGAGUAACACGUGAGUAACCUGCCCUUGACUUUGGGAUAACUUCAGGAAACUGGGGCUAAUACCGGAUAGGAGCUCCUGCUGCAUGGUGAGGGUUGGAAAGUUUCGGCGGUUGGGGAUGGACUCGCGGCUUAUCAGCUUGUUGGUGGGGUAGUGGCUUACCAAGGCUUUGACGGGUAGCCGGCCUGAGAGGGUGACCGGCCACAUUGGGACUGAGAUACGGCCCAGACUCCUACGGGAGGCAGCAGUGGGGAAUAUUGCACAAUGGGCGGAAGCCUGAUGCAGCAACGCCGCGUGCGGGAUGACGGCCUUCGGGUUGUAAACCGCUUUCGCCUGUGACGAAGCGUGAGUGACGGUAAUGGGUAAAGAAGCACCGGCUAACUACGUG
Molecule: ribosomal RNA, 468 nt
Filed under: uncultured bacterium
Lineage: Bacteria
Description: partial 16S ribosomal RNA
Rfam family: Bacterial small subunit ribosomal RNA
Source: RNAcentral